UAUGGUUUUUAGGUCAAAUUAACGAGAUCAUAUUGUAAAAUUUUUUAUAUUAAAAACAUUAUAUUAUAUUUUCUAGAUAAUAAAGUAAAAGUCACAGUUAAUCUUUCCACACCCAAUUUGUAUUGCUUUACGUUAUCAUGUUAUUGAAUUAUAUUUGUAUAUCGUGUAUAUAUAAUCACUGAAAGUUCCAUGAGUACAGUUCAGAAAGUAAUAUUAAAGUUCUAUAUGUGUACUACAUUUAAUUAAAAUUAAGGACAAAAAGGUAUAAUCAUAGAUUUUAUCAGAAAUAACAUUAAAGUGCUGAGACAGAGAUGAACCAUGAUUAUAAUUUUUAUUGUGGCUAGUUAAACGUGUUUUUCAGUAGUGAGGCAAAGUCAGGCAAGCUAUAUUUAACCAAAGAAAUAAUUGGAAGUGUAGUACAAUAUACACUAUUGACCUAAAACACGUGUAAUAAAUGAAAUUGCAUGAUAUACGCGGCGAUGUAUUAACAAGAUCGCUUAUCAGCUAUUAGUUGCACGACAGCUGUAGGUUUCAUUAAAAAAAACACACACACAGAAUUAAUAUUCCAACCAAGUCAAAUUUAGUCUUUACAGACAUUGGACAAGUGUAACACGUUUUCUUUCCGCACUUUACAACAUUUUGCUUACGCUCGCGAUUAAGCGGUGACUUUUGGUGUCUAUGUCAGCCAUUUAAUUAAGAUUUGUUGUUGGAACCAUAUUCAACUGCAUAUAAAAUUUGCAAAACUUAAUUCCAUUUAGGUUGAUAGUGAAUGGUUUACAAUGAUGUCGGAUGUGAAAAGUCUGAAGCAAGCGGUUAUGCCUAUUAUAUGGCUCAAUUGUUUGUGUUGCAUGGGUGUAUUUGAAAUGCCCAUAAACCGUCCACGAUAUUUUCUAAGUGGUUUCUAUGUCAUUUCAAUAUUAAUUGGAUAUUUCUGUUUAUUUUACGAAGAGAUUUACAUCUUCCAGAAAUUGCCUAUUCAGGCAUCUCUGAUAUUUUCUUUUGUUGUUAUGGGAGUCAACAUCGUGGUUGCCGUCUUGGCUAUAAUUCUAUUUUGGUGUAAAUCAGAGAAGACAAAUAACAUAAUUAAGAGGUCAAGUAUAGCGGACAGUACCUUACAAGCAUUGGGCAUAAAACUAGAGUAUCAGAAAAUCCACCGCAAUAUUCUGUGUUAUGUGACUGUCUCGCUGGCAAUCGGGAUAACAUUAUUCAUCGUACAUAUAGCGUGGAUGUUUCAUCAUGUUGGAUACUGGGCGGCUGUCCUUAGCAACAUAUGCAUAUGUUUUCCGGCUUUGAUAAAUUCUGUAGUGGAUCUCACUUUUGUCUCAUUUAUCAGAUGUGUUAAAGUGAAAUUUGAAAACACAAAUAUUCUAAUCAAGAAUAUAAUGCUUUCUACAAAUGAAUCAAAUGUUUUUAUGACGCACAAUCGGUACGAUAACACGUCUACUACAUUUGACAUAGAAAAUUAUAAAAAUAACAAAGACAAGAUAAUACAUCUCAUUCAGACACUAAGACAUUUACAUUUGGAAAUUACGAGAAUAGGACGGCAAAUUAAUCAAGCUUAUUGUCUGCAACUUCUGCUCGAAUUAGCAGUCCAUUUUACGAUGGUAACAUCAACUCUUUAUUGUAUAUACGGCGUAUUUUCUAACCAGUUAAGUGUAACCAUCAACAACGAAGAGAUUAUUGCUUUGACAAUGACAGCAUCCGUGUUUUCACUUAAAAUUAUAUUCAUAAAUUGGAUUUGUACGAAUGCAUCAACGGAGGCGUACAAAACCGGUGAAAUUAUACAAUCUUUUGAAGGGUCUAUUAUCGAUGAUGAUAUGCGAGAAGAGAUUCACCAAUUUACACUGCAAGUAGUGCUUAAUUCGUUAAAUUUUACCGCUACGGGUUUCUUUUCAAUUAAUAAUUCUCUUACUGGCAAGUUCUUUGCCACGGUGUCAACGUAUGUUGUUAUUCUAAUACAAAUGAACAAAUUCAUGUAACAUAAUGACAUUAGGAAGAAAAUUUAAACAUAUUAUAGAUAAACAUCUUCUAUUAAUAGAUAAAUAUCUCUGUCUUCUAUUAUUGUUACUUCGAAAAACGUGAGUUUGCAAAGAAGAAUUAACUAAUUUAAACUAAUUUAAUAAUUUUAUUUCUCUUACAAGCUUACUUUUUCUUGCAAUUGAUGAUUUGGAUAAAUCAAAGUGCAGUGGUAUAGAAAGGGUAAGCAAACUAGUACAAUGAUACAUUAGCGAAUAAUGAUAUUCUCUUCCAAAUAAAAUAAGUGAUUAGUAAAAUAAGAAAUAAACUCUUCAUGAAUAUCAUCUAAGCUGAACAGAAAAUUUGUGUGUGCGCGUUACAGACGGAAUAUAGGAUAAGUCGGAAAAUGAUGCCAUAAUUAAGAAAUAUAGAAAUACGAACAAAAAAUAAUCACAACACUCUUCAAUUUUAUCAAACUGAUACUUAAACUUUUGCAAACUUUCACAGUGUUAAAAAUAGUCGCCUUUUAAAAGUUAUUGUAAAAUAUUAUUAUUUGAUUAUACGUUGCAAAAUUAUAACCUUGCAAAAUUGGCAUUUUAUUCGUAUAUUUGAGUAAAAUGCCUGUAACAGUAGAAAAUGCAAAAGCUGAAAAACACGCAACACUCAAUAAGUGAAGUGUAAUAUGAAUACAAAACUUUGAUUUAUUUUUUCUAACAAUUGCAUGUAACUGAGCAAUACAGAACAAACUUCAAAACCUUACUUUACCGGUAAAACAAAUUUUAUGAAACAUUACAAAUAAAAUUUUGCAACGUUAUCACAAAUAGAAUGACUAAAUUAUAAUCCUUCUUAAAUAUAAUACAAUUCCAUGUGUUGUAUACGUUCUUUUUAACACCAUGGAACUGUGAAAAAGCUUGCACGCGUCAGUUAUUAUGUUAACAAUUUCACAUUAACAAUUAAAAGAUAUUACCACGUAUAAAAUAAUAAACAAAAUAUUAACAAUGAAAUCUUCGAAAGACUGGCAUCUUACUCCGACUUACCCUACAUGAUAUAGGUACUAGACAUAUGUACAUUUGUUAUAUGUAACAAUGUAGUUCAAAAAUUACUAAUUGUAGAAAUAUUGAUUCUGCUACAUAUAUGUGUACUAUCGUUUAAUGAUUUAACGACAUUAUAAUGAGCUGAUCUAAUCAGCUAUUAAUAUUAUCUCAUCAUCGUGAUGAAUGCCUUCUAUACAUAUAUUACGUGACUUUCAACUUUGGAUUUAACAGUUAGCAUGUGAAGUUGCAACAGUUGCAAUGGUUGAUACUAUAGAAAAAGCUUUACGUCCUCUCUCCUUAGUCGCUUUUAUCUUUGGUUUCGGAAUUCUCAGAUAUCCUCUCAAUCUUUGGAAAUUUCGUUUGAGCAUCUUUUAUAUAUUAAUUGUGUGGAGUCUCUAUAUCGGUUUGUUUCAUUUUGUGAUACACAUCUUUUCACCAAGGCGUAUAUUCAACAGCGUUUUGACUUUCUUUAUGAUAAAUAUAAAUUUUCUUGUGACGAUAAUAUCUGUAACCAUCACCGUUCGCAAAUACGAGAAUAUCCGCAUAUGUAUAAAGAAACUUGGUCUUGUGGAUGAUACAUUGGAAAAACUUGGAACGCCCAAGGAAUAUAGUAGAAUUCAAAACUCGAUAAUAUGGGCGUUAAUUAUGUAUCUUAUAGUAAUUCUCAUAUCAUUUGCUACCGACUCUAUUUGGAAUAUAGAAAAGCAUAACACUUUAAAAGCUAUGAUUAUUCCUCUUGUUUUGGCAUAUCCAUUUUAUGUCAAUACUCUUGGAGAUAUAAUGUUUGUGUUUGUGUUGAGAUAUAUUGAUACCAGAUUGGAUAAAAUAAACGACUAUAUUGAACAACUAUCAGAAGCUAAAGGGUAUGGAUUGAGAUGCAAGUGGAAAAAGUCUUUUCGCAUUCGCCACUAUGUUCGAAGCGCGGAUAAUCGCAAACACGUGUUAUGGACCGUAAUGCAUCUUCAUUUGGAGCUUUGUCGAGUAGCUCGUAACAUAAAUGACUUAUUUGGAACGCAAUUGACAUUGCAGAUGAUAUCUUACUUCGUUAUUUUAAUUAUAUUAUUUUAUGUUCAGUAUCAUAUGAUAUUGUGUUUAAAAUAUAUGCAUGGGAGCGAUUCAGCUAAAUUGAAACUUAUGUUUGCUAACAACAUGUGGUGUAUAAUAUUCUUAACGAAAUUCAUAUUACUGAAUCAUAUUUGCGAAAGUGUUAGUGC
Vollenhovia emeryi is the source of this 4204-nucleotide RNA transcript. It is a transcript of the gene named putative gustatory receptor 28b, with no coding region annotated. Lineage: Eukaryota; Metazoa; Arthropoda; Insecta; Hymenoptera; Formicidae. The transcript is spliced from 11 exons. The record is from RefSeq and is a predicted model, not a curated record.